RNAcentral lists this long non-coding RNA (1182 nucleotides) under Piliocolobus tephrosceles (Ugandan red Colobus). Its description in RNAcentral is "lncRNA (ENSPTEG00000002351.1)". The record is from RNAcentral. Lineage: Eukaryota; Metazoa; Chordata; Mammalia; Primates; Cercopithecidae.
AUGAUGAAUAUUCUUCAGAUUUAUGUGAUGAAAAAAAAUAAUAUAAGCUAUAAAAGUUGUAUUAAUGAAAAUAUAGAUGAUAUAAUAAAACUUCAAAGAUGGAAUGGUGAUUUAAAAUUUGAUAUUGACCCCGAUUUUAAAGAAUCAUCAUCCGAUAUGGAUAAUUAUUCUGUUGAAUCUGGUAGUUUAUUGAAUUUUAAUAAAUAUAGUAUUAUUGAAAAUAACAUUUAUUCGAAUAAUGCAAAUUGUAAAAAAAGAAAAACUGAAAACAAGGCGAAUAAUUUUAUGCCAAAUAAUCAAUGUAAAGAGGAAGAUAAAAGAAUUAUGAAUGAAGAUUAUUAUAAAAAAAUAAUAGGUGAAAAAAACUAUGCCAACAUGGUUAACAAAUCUGAAUUUGUUAAUAAUAAAGGUAAUAACAAUUUUAUAGGUAAUGGAAAAAAUAAAAUAAAUAAUAAUAAUACAAAUUACAAACAUAAAGCUUUAACUGAAUUAAGUGAAAAAAUUAGUUUAAAAAAAAAAAAAUAUACAGGACGUACAGAUAGACAUAAUAAAAAGAAUAAUGUUUAUCCUGGUGAACACAAUGAUGCAUAUGCAUAUAAUGAAAAAAGAAAUGUAUUACAAGUAAACGAUUUUAAUAAUAAUAAUAAUUAUAAUAAUAAUAAUAAUAAUAAUAAUAAUAAUAAUAAUAAUAAGAGUUAUAACAAUAAAAAUUUUAAAUACAACAUGUCACAAAAAAAUCCUUAUAUAAAAAAAAAAUAUAACAAAAAAAAAAUAGAGUCGAAUUAUAAUACUAUAAUUGAAAAAGGUUUUGAUAACGCAUUAGAAGGUAAUAACAACAAUGGUUAUGCAAAUAAAAAUAAAAAUAAUAAAAAAGAUAAAAGAAAGAAAAAUAAAAAUUAUUAUAAUAAUGAAAACAGUUAUAAUAGUUAUUUAAAUGCAGCACAUGAUAUAUAUAAAACAAAAGAUUUUAGAAAGAAUCAAAGAAACGCUGAAAUAAACGAAGAACAAAUGAAUGGACUAUCGGAAAAAAACUUAGAAAUAGAUGGAGCAUAUGCAUAUAACUAUGCAUAUUUAAAUAAAAACGAUGAUUCGUCAAGUUCUAGCUCUAACAAUGCAACUAAUGAUACUAUAAUGAACUUAGAAGAAGAAAUUAAUAAUUAUAAGUUCAGCACAUUCUUAUGA